Molecule: unclassified non-coding RNA, 233 nt
Filed under: fungal sp.
Lineage: Eukaryota; Fungi
Description: partial contains small subunit ribosomal RNA, internal transcribed spacer 1, and 5.8S ribosomal RNA
Rfam family: Eukaryotic small subunit ribosomal RNA (bases 1-46)
Source: RNAcentral
AAGUCGUAACAAGGUUUCCGUAGGUGAACCUGCGGAAGGAUCAUUACAAGAAACGAGGCCGCGUGCGCUCGCCCGCCCGGCCCCGCUCCUUACCUUGCCUACUGCACCGUUUGUUGCUUCCUGGCGGCGGACUGCCCGCCGCCAGGGACGUUGAUACAACCCUGUAUAGAAGCAUUGAAGCUCUGAGAAAACGCGAAAUCGUACAACUUUCAACAAUGGAUCUCUUGGUUCUG